AACCAUAGAAACCUGCGGAGUACCUGCGGAAGGAUCAUUACAGAGUUGCAAAACUCCCACAAACCAUCGCGAAUCUUACCCGUACGGUUGCCUCGGCGCUGGCGGUCCGGAAGGCCCUCGGGCCCCCGGACCCUCGGGUCCCCCGCUCGCGGGGGGCUGCCCGCCGGAGUGCCGAAACCAAACUCUUGAUAUUUUAUGUCUCUCUGAGUAAACUUUUGAAUAAGUCAAAACUUUCAACAA
Molecule: unclassified non-coding RNA, 240 nt
Filed under: soil metagenome
Description: partial contains 5.8S ribosomal RNA, internal transcribed spacer 2, and large subunit ribosomal RNA
Source: RNAcentral